Sus scrofa (pig) is the source of this 582-nucleotide non-coding RNA. NCBI's taxonomy places the organism in Eukaryota, Metazoa, Chordata, Mammalia, Artiodactyla, Suidae. The record is from RefSeq and is a predicted model, not a curated record.
UUUUAGUCCUUUAUAACACAAACCAAAAAAGGAAGGAAAGAAAGAAAGAAAAGCCUUUGCCAAACACUCCCCACAGAGGAGAAACCUUGUGGAUUCUAGAAGAACAGAGAGUGCUCUGAAAGGCAGGGAUAUUGCUGGCAGGUGUGGCUCUGAGGGCCCUGGUCGGUGUGGAGGAAGGUGGGAGGUGCCCCUGGUGGAGAGCCAGACCUAGAAGAACACAGGUGAAGUGGGAGAAGACACAUCUAAUGAAAUUGGGAGAAUGAUGCAGGGAGACAUGCCCCGCCUUCAGAGAUCUUGGACAAGCCAUGGCUGGCCUGAGAAAUGGCCCACUGGACACAUCAGGUGCUGAGGCAGCAAGUGUCCGUGUUCCAGGCAGAUGGUCCACCCAGAUGUGGCCAGCGGGUGAGGAGUCUUUCCAAGCUCGCCCUUCAGCUUCCGUUUUUGCCUGCAGAAUAGCUCCAGGCCAGCGUUUUCUGCCAUCACAGCUCUGGAGCACAGUCUCUGUGUUGUUCUUUUUGUUUGCCUUUUCUAGGGCCGUUCCUCCGGCAUAUGGAGGUUCCUAGGCUAGGGGUCUAAUCAGAA